RNAcentral lists this ribosomal RNA (440 nucleotides) under uncultured bacterium. RNAcentral's name for it is "partial 16S ribosomal RNA". It matches the Rfam family "Bacterial small subunit ribosomal RNA", at positions 338 to 795 of the family's 1533-position model. The record is from RNAcentral.
CCUACGGGAGGCAGCAGUAGGGAAUAUUGCUCAAUGGGGGAAACCCUGAAGCAGCAACGCCGCGUGGAGGAUGAAGGUUUUCUGAUUGUAAACUCCUUUUGUUAGAGAAGAUAAUCACGGUACCUAUCGACUAACUACCGGUUAAUUCCGUGCCAGCAGCCGCGGUAAUACGGGGGGUGCAAGCGUUACUCGGAAUCACUGGGCGUAAAGAGCGCGUAGGCGGGAUAGCAAGUCAGGUGUGAAAUCCUAUGGCUUAACCAUAGAACUGCAUUUGAAACUGUUAUUCUAGAGUGUGGGAGAGGUAGGUGGAAUUCUUGGUGUAGGGGUAAAAUCCGUAGAGAUCAAGAGGAAUACUCAUUGCGAAGGCGACCUGCUGGAACAUAACUGACGCUGAUGCGCGAAAGCGUGGGGAGCAAACAGGAUUAGAUACCCGAGUAGUC